ACGAAUGUAAUUAGGAGACUUAGGGAAGGAAUACCAGGAGUCCGCCAGGCCGAGCUCUGGGUCAUUAAUAAUGGCCUUCGAUUUGGAUACUGCUCUUUGAGUAGAAGCUUUAGAAAUCUCCGCAUCAGUUCUGAAGGCCCGAAGUUUGAGAUCAAGGUAUCAUUAGGGUCAUGCUCACCCUGAAGACACCAAGCAAGGAUCUAUUCCGGGCCUCUCUCCCAGCUUCUGAGAGACAGAGCAUGAGCAGGGGAGGGGCAGAGAGAGAGGGAGACAGAGAAUCUGGAGCAGGCUCCAGGCUCCGAGCUGUCAGCACAGAGCCCGACGUGGAGCUCGAACUCACAGACCGCGAGACCACGACCUGAGCCGAAGUUGGAUGAUCAACCGACUGAGUUAAUGUCAAGAUCAAGCUAGAAUACAAGCCACUGGACAGUUAACAAGUGUCAGGAGUCUUGUUUCUGCUCAAGAUAGGAUCCAUUUUUAUCUCAGUCCCCAAACACCAAAAAUAGCUCUUUCCAUCACAUUCUUCCCUUCCUCCACUGCACCUCCACAGUGGUUCAGGGCACUGGUAGGCCCAGAGAACACACCCAGAACAGGUCUCAGGGCAGAGAGUGCGUGUAAAGCCAGUGCCCAAGUGACAGAAGAAGAUCCAGCUGGCAGCCAGCCUGGUGCAGUGUGUGUAGGACGCAAGAAGCAACGACUCAGCCUGGCAAGAAGCCAAAACAGGCAACAGUCCUCAGAGGAGGGCCAGUCGAGACCGGGCAACACAAGAGGAAGAGAAAUCUGAACACAUCAGAACACAAACCAAGGAUCUGUUUUUCACUAGUUCCUGAAUGAUAAAGAAGUAGAAUUGUGUCUCAGAUCCCAAGGCAUACCCUCAUCUGAAGUUGUGCGUUUAGAGAUUUCUAAGUAAGCUGUGUGGUAACAUGCAUCUAGUUCUCUUUCCAGUGUGUUGGUCUAAUCUUUUCCCAGCAAACACUUUUGGUAAGUUCCUAAAGUCCUAAAGGACCCUCUCAGGGAUCACUUUGGAUGGUUGUCUAGAUGGAGUUGACCCUACCUAAUAAUUCAAAGCUAUUCAGUGGCUGUAGCAGGAAAACUCAGAAAGCCACCUUCCCUCCAGAAUGGAGCUUAAAGAAGUCUACUUCAGUCUGAGUCUGUUACACUUUGCACCCCUACUACCCAGCAGGGACUGUGUCUUGAUUUUUACUUCCCAUAGUGCCAAGUAUUGUGCAUGCUAGGCAUUCAAUAAAUAAAUAUAAAUAUAUAAAAACUA
This is a long non-coding RNA of Felis catus (domestic cat), 1270 nucleotides long. RefSeq lists it as uncharacterized. NCBI's taxonomy places the organism in Eukaryota, Metazoa, Chordata, Mammalia, Carnivora, Felidae. The transcript has 3 exons. The record is from RefSeq and is a predicted model, not a curated record.